This 490-nucleotide ribosomal RNA is filed under the name uncultured bacterium. Its description in RNAcentral is "partial 16S ribosomal RNA". It matches the Rfam family "Bacterial small subunit ribosomal RNA", at positions 29 to 505 of the family's 1533-position model. The record is from RNAcentral.
AGUGAACGCUGGCGGUAGGCCUAACACAUGCAAGUCGAACGGCAGCACAGUAAGAGCUUGCUCUUACGGGUGGCGAGUGGCGGACGGGUGAGGAAUACAUCGGAAUCUACUUUUUCGUGGGGGAUAACGUAGGGAAACUUACGCUAAUACCGCAUACGACCUACGGGUGAAAGCAGGGGAUCUUCGGACCUUGCGCGAUUGAAUGAGCCGAUGUCGGAUUAGCUAGUUGGCGGGGUAAAGGCCCACCAAGGCGACGAUCCGUAGCUGGUCUGAGAGGAUGAUCAGCCACACUGGAACUGAGACACGGUACAGACUCCUACGGGAGGCAGCAGUGGGGAAUAUUGGAAAAUGGGCGCAAGCCUGAUCCAGCCAUACCGCGUGGGUGAAGAAGGCCUUCGGGUUGUAAAGCCCUUUUGUUGGGAAAGAAAAGCAGCAGGUUAAUACCCCGCUGUUCUGACGGUACCCAAAGAAUAAGCACCGGCUAACUUCG